Long non-coding RNA from Centruroides sculpturatus (bark scorpion), 244 nucleotides. RefSeq lists it as uncharacterized. NCBI's taxonomy places the organism in Eukaryota, Metazoa, Arthropoda, Arachnida, Scorpiones, Buthidae. The transcript is spliced from 3 exons. The record is from RefSeq and is a predicted model, not a curated record.
AAACUUGUUGCUAUGAAAUAAAAUGACUUCAGCUCGUUUGACUAGCUAUUCACUUUUGAAAGUAAAAAACGAAGUCACUAUGAUGAAAGGAAUAUUCUCAACUCUCAUUUUAUCCUUCGUGUUUACGAUGGUAUGGAGUGUCCGCGCCGAUACGACCAAUAGACCAUUUUAUAUUGACCAGUACUGCAGUGUAAAUGAUCUUGACUGUUUUGGCAAAUGUUUUAAUAAUAUCGUUAGUUCAAAG